Molecule: ribosomal RNA, 372 nt
Filed under: uncultured bacterium
Lineage: Bacteria
Description: partial 16S ribosomal RNA
Rfam family: Bacterial small subunit ribosomal RNA
Source: RNAcentral
CCUACGGGUGGCUGCAGUGAGGAAUAUUGGUCAAUGGGCUUACGCCUGAACCAGCCAAGUCGCGUGAGGGAAGACUGCCCUAUGGGUUGUAAACCUCUUUUGUCAGGGAGCAACGCCGGCUACGUGUAGCCGGACUGAGAGUACCUGAAGAAAAAGCAUCGGCUAACUCCGUGCCAGCAGCCGCGGUAAUACGGAGGAUGCGAGCGUUAUCGGGAUUGAUUGGGUUAAAAGGGUGCGUAGGCGGAAUGCCAAGUCAGCGGUAAAAUCGCGGGGCGAAACCGCGCUCCGCAGUUGAAACUGGAGUUCUUGAGUGCGGGAGAGGUGUGGGGAAUGCGUGGUGUAGCGGUGAAAUGCAUAGAUAGAACGAAGAAC